Molecule: ribosomal RNA, 255 nt
Filed under: uncultured bacterium
Lineage: Bacteria
Description: partial 16S ribosomal RNA
Rfam family: Bacterial small subunit ribosomal RNA
Source: RNAcentral
ACGGGUGAGUAACGCGUGGGUAACCUGCCUUGUACUGGGGGACGAACAGUUGGAAACGACUGCUAAUACCGCAUAAGCGCACAGCUUCGCAUGAAGCAGUGUGAAAAACUACCGGUGGUACAAGAUGGACCCGCGUCUGAUUAGCUGGUUGGUGAGGUAACGGCCCACCAAGGCAACGAUCAGUAGCCGGCCUGAGAGGGUGAACGGCCACAUUGGGACUGAGACACGGCCCAAACUCCUACGGGAGGCAGCAUG